AUUUACUUUUUUUUUUAGUUUUUA
This 24-nucleotide small RNA is filed under the name Arabidopsis thaliana (thale cress). Its description in RNAcentral is "ATSL068790". Lineage: Eukaryota; Viridiplantae; Streptophyta; Magnoliopsida; Brassicales; Brassicaceae. The record is from RNAcentral.